RNAcentral lists this ribosomal RNA (494 nucleotides) under Scorpaenodes guamensis (Guam scorpionfish). Its description in RNAcentral is "partial 16S ribosomal RNA". It matches the Rfam family "Bacterial large subunit ribosomal RNA", at positions 1935 to 2581 of the family's 2925-position model. The record is from RNAcentral. Lineage: Eukaryota; Metazoa; Chordata; Actinopteri; Perciformes; Scorpaenidae.
GGUAUUUUGACCGUGCAAAGGUAGCGCAAUCACUUGUCUUUUAAAUGAAGACCUGUAUGAAUGGCACAACGAGGGCUUAACUGUCUCCUUUCUCAGGUCAAUGAAAUUGAUCUCUCCGUGCAGAAGCGGGGAUAUACCCAUAAGACGAGAAGACCCUAUGGAGCUUCAGACACCAAAGAAGACCCUGUUAAUCCUCCCGCAAAUCACGGAAUAAACAAAUGGGUGCCUUCCCUAAUGUCUUUGGUUGGGGCGACCGCGGGGAAACAAAAAACCCCCACGUGGAAAGGGAACACCCCCUCCUACAGCCCAGAGCCACAGCUCAAAUCAACAGAAUUUCUGACCAACAGAUCCGGCAAAGCCGAUCAACGGACCGAGUUACCCUAGGGAUAACAGCGCAAUCCCCUUUUAGAGCCCACAUCGACAAGGGGGUUUACGACCUCGAUGUUGGAUCAGGACAUCCUAAUGGUGCAGCCGCUAUUAAGGGUCCGUUUGUU